CGUAACGCGUAUGCAACUUACCCAUUACUGGGGGAUAGCCCGGGGAAACUCGGAUUAAUACCCCAUAGUAUCAUAAAAUCGCAUGAUUUAAUGAUUAAAGAUUUAUCGGUAAUGGAUGGGCAUGCGUGUCAUUAGUUAGUUGGUGAGGUAACGGCUCACCAAGACUUCGAUGACUAGGGGGCCUGAGAGGGUGAUCCCCCACACUGGUACUGAGAUACGGACCAGACUCC
This 230-nucleotide ribosomal RNA is filed under the name uncultured bacterium. Its description in RNAcentral is "partial 16S ribosomal RNA". It matches the Rfam family "Bacterial small subunit ribosomal RNA", at positions 109 to 339 of the family's 1533-position model. The record is from RNAcentral.